AUGGGGCCCCUCCGAGGCGCAUUGGCGCCAAACGCCGACGAAAAUUUUCGGUUUUCCCUCCCUCUCGUUUUCUCCGCUCGUACAAAUGCUUUUUCCCCUUUCCUUUCUCUCUCCUCUCCUCUCGCCCAUCCAUUCCACACAUCCAUCCACCAGAUUCAGGAGAGAGAGAGAGGGAGAGAGAUUGCGGAGACGGGAGAGAGAGAGAGGGAGAGAGAUUGCGGAGAGGAGAGAGAGAUUGUGCCGGUUCUCGGUGCCCGGCGGUUCGGCGGUUGGGAUUGGGUUGCUUGCGUCUAUUGCAGAAAGAGAGUUGAAUCCAUCCAGCAAACCUAUGGGAGCUGGCUCCUGAGCCGCGGCGGCGGGCGGGCGUAUCUGCUGGGAGAUGAAACUGGAAGAUAA
Molecule: ribosomal RNA, 396 nt
Filed under: Triticum aestivum (bread wheat)
Lineage: Eukaryota; Viridiplantae; Streptophyta; Magnoliopsida; Poales; Poaceae
Description: partial small subunit ribosomal RNA
Source: RNAcentral